AGAGUUUGAUCCUGGCUCAGGAUGAACGCUGGCGGCGUGCCUAAUACAUGCAAGUCGAGCGAACGGACGAGAAGCUUGCUUCUCUGAUGUUAGCGGCGGACGGGUGAGUAACACGUGGAUAACCUACCUAUAAGACUGGGAUAACUUCGGGAAACCGGAGCUAAUACCGGAUAAUAUUUUGAACCGCAUGGUUCAAAAGUGAAAGACGGUCUUGCUGUCACUUAUAGAUGGAUCCGCGCUGCAUUAGCUAGUUGGUAAGGUAACGGCUUACCAAGGCAACGAUGCAUAGCCGACCUGAGAGGGUGAUCGGCCACACUGGAACUGAGACACGGUCCAGACUCCUACGGGAGGCAGCAGUAGGGAAUCUUCCGCAAUGGGCGAAAGCCUGACGGAGCGACGCCGCGUGAGUGAUGAAGGUCUUCGGAUCGUAAAACUCUGUUAUUAGGGAAGAACAUAUGUGUAAGUAACUGUGCACAUCUUGACGGUACCUAAUCAGAAAGCCACGGCUAACUACGUGCCAGCAGCCGCGGUAAUACGUAGGUGGCAAGCGUUAUCCGGAAUUAUUGGGCGUAAAGCGCGCGUAGGCGGUUUUUUAAGUCUGAUGUGAAAGCCCACGGCUCAACCGUGGAGGGUCAUUGGAAACUGGAAAACUUGAGUGCAGAAGAGGAAAGUGGAAUUCCAUGUGUAGCGGUGAAAUGCGCAGAGAUAUGGAGGAACACCAGUGGCGAAGGCGACUUUCUGGUCUGUAACUGACGCUGAUGUGCGAAAGCGUGGGGAUCAAACAGGAUUAGAUACCCUGGUAGUCCACGCCGUAAACGAUGAGUGCUAAGUGUUAGGGGGUUUCCGCCCCUUAGUGCUGCAGCUAACGCAUUAAGCACUCCGCCUGGGGAGUACGACCGCAAGGUUGAAACUCAAAGGAAUUGACGGGGACCCGCACAAGCGGUGGAGCAUGUGGUUUAAUUCGAAGCAACGCGAAGAACCUUACCAAAUCUUGACAUCCUUUGACAACUCUAGAGAUAGAGCCUUCCCCUUCGGGGGACAAAGUGACAGGUGGUGCAUGGUUGUCGUCAGCUCGUGUCGUGAGAUGUUGGGUUAAGUCCCGCAACGAGCGCAACCCUUAAGCUUAGUUGCCAUCAUUAAGUUGGGCACUCUAAGUUGACUGCCGGUGACAAACCGGAGGAAGGUGGGGAUGACGUCAAAUCAUCAUGCCCCUUAUGAUUUGGGCUACACACGUGCUACAAUGGACAAUACAAAGGGCAGCGAAACCGCGAGGUCAAGCAAAUCCCAUAAAGUUGUUCUCAGUUCGGAUUGUAGUCUGCAACUCGACUACAUGAAGCUGGAAUCGCUAGUAAUCGUAGAUCAGCAUGCUACGGUGAAUACGUUCCCGGGUCUUGUACACACCGCCCGUCACACCACGAGAGUUUGUAACACCCGAAGCCGGUGGAGUAACCUUUUAGGAGCUAGCCGUCGAAGGUGGGACAAAUGAUUGGGGUGAAGUCGUAACAAGGUAGCCGUAUCGGAAGGUGCGGCUGGAUCACCU
Molecule: ribosomal RNA, 1540 nt
Filed under: Staphylococcus aureus
Lineage: Bacteria; Bacillati; Bacillota; Bacilli; Caryophanales; Staphylococcaceae
Description: 16S ribosomal RNA
Rfam family: Bacterial small subunit ribosomal RNA
Source: RNAcentral